RNAcentral lists this non-coding RNA (86 nucleotides) under Salisediminibacterium halotolerans. RNAcentral's name for it is "GEMM cis-regulatory element". It matches the Rfam family "c-di-GMP-I riboswitch aptamer". From Rfam's summary of the family: GEMM was predicted in a large-scale screen for bacterial structured RNA regulatory elements. Genes associated with GEMM are involved in a diverse array of functions, including chemotaxis regulation, signal transduction, secretion and chitin. The record is from RNAcentral. Lineage: Bacteria; Bacillati; Bacillota; Bacilli; Caryophanales; Bacillaceae.
AUUCGAGAAAGGCAAACUCUCUGAAAAGAGAGGACGCAAAGUUAUGGGUCUGUCGGAGAUACUCCUACGAUCGCCAAACUGCCGAU